This 1083-nucleotide long non-coding RNA is filed under the name Meriones unguiculatus (Mongolian gerbil). Its description in RNAcentral is "lncRNA (ENSMUGG00000011047.1)". Lineage: Eukaryota; Metazoa; Chordata; Mammalia; Rodentia; Muridae. The record is from RNAcentral.
CGCAUUCAAUGAAACCUUGUGUUGUGAUUCAGGUUACUGCUCACUUCCUCCUUUUUGUUCAGGCAGAGAUCCCAGCUCAAGAAUGAACUUCAAGUAGGGCUUUUCAGUUAAAACUUCUGGAAAUAUCCUCAAAGACACACCCAGAGAUUUACUUAAUCAAGUUGGUAAGGAAAGUUAACCACAUCCAAAGAGAAGCUUCAUGCCUGUAGGAUGUCUGUGUGUGUGUGUGUUGCCACAGCACUUGUGUGGAGGUGGGUCUGACUCCUGACACAGCACAUGUGUGAGUUUCUGUCUGAUUCUCCUGUCUCCACUUUGCAGCUCAUUUUAAGAGUGCUGGAAUUGCAGACAUGAGUCACUGCAGCUGGCUUUUAAGGUUGGUUCUUAGGAUUCAGCUCAGUUGCCAUGUUACCAAGCUCCCCUUUCCUCCCUUCUCUUCCUAUAACAUGUGACUUGGUAUACUGUUUAAGCACUCCUCUGCAACGUAACUGGAAUGGAAAUGAUGUGACCUCAGAGCGUGGAUGAAAGAAAAAAAAUCCAUCCAAAUCUAGUUUUUUGGGAUUUCUUACAGAAGCAUGGAUGAAGAGGUUUCCAGCACUGAGUUGUCUCUGCCUCCCAAUGGAAACAUGCAAGCCUUGGUGUGCAUGUGGAGACCAAAAGACAACUUGAGGGGUUUCUCCUCCCGCCAUUUGGGUCCCGGGCUCAGGCUUUAUUGGCAAGCACCUCUACCUGCUAGGCCAGCUCUCUGGCCCUCAAAACACCUUCGAGCAGAGCGAGGACUUUCACAGUGUUGCCUCAUGUCACACGGCUGCUGUUUUACUGCUCACGUGCCAACCUAAGUGCAAAGAACUGAACUUGCUAGAAGAAUUCACGGUAGAGGCAAGGAGGAAGGAAGACAUCACCACUACGGAAGGAAGACAUCACCACUACAGCCAAGGGUCAAAUUCCUGUCCAGAAAUUGCAUCUCUAGAUAAAUGUGUUUGUUUGUUUCUUUUUGAGACAGAAUCUCACCAUAUAAUCCAAGCUUGCCUCAAACUUUUGAUCCUUCUGCCUUCUGCUGAUAAUCCCAGGUAGCUGGGAUUGGCC